CGAAGCCUGUGGUUCACAACAGAAGCAACAAUAUAAUAUUGGUAAGACAUCUAUCUAGAAGUCCAUUAACAAUGAAUUUAAUAUAUCUAUAUAUAUAUAUAUAUAUAUAUCAUAGAUGAGAUUAACAAUACAACAUUCAUAAUCUAAUGUAAAGAUGACUGAUGCUCUUGAUGUCGCAGAACAGCUACAUGCCCCAUAUCUCUCCUCUCUAACUGAACCUUCAUGACAACAUGGUUGAAUGUGGUGUUAAUCUCUUACUGACCUACAGUUUACAUAAAUACUAUAGAAUUAAUGUACAGCAGUGGAGGCUGCUGAGGGGAGGACGGCUCAUAAUAAUAGCUGGAACUGAGCGAAUGGAAUAGCACCAAACAAUGGAAACCAUGUAUUUGAUACCAUUACACACAUUCUGCUCAAGCCAUUGCCACAAGCCUGUCCUCCCCAAUUAAAGUGCCACCAACCUCCUGUGAUGUACAUGUCACUGCCAAAAUAAAGGAAACACUUUAGCAAAUGAGGGAUGCGAAGUCUAUUGAAAGCAGGUGCUUCCACACAGGUGUGGUUCCUGAGUUAAUUCAGUAAUUAACAUCCCAUCGUGCUUAGAGUCAUGUAUAAAAAUGCUUAUUAUUUUUGCUACCAUGGCUAGAAGAAGUGACUUUGACGGACGGGUCUCAAAGGAGCAUAGGCAGUUUUAAAGGGCCUGUGCGUUUCCUUUAUCUUGACAGUUACAUGUAUAAUAUUGUCUACUUUACUCUAUAACACGUAAAGGCCUGUGUUACCAUCUACGUGGUUGAAGGUGGUGUUCCCUGAGGCAUGGUGAUGCUGGGCAGCAUGACGAAGCCGAACAUGAGCAGGAACAUGAUGAAGUUGAGCAGCACCAGGAAACGCAGGAAGGAGAAGUAGGACAGGAUCCCUGUGCCAAACAUCCCUGUGAUGGGACACAGAGAAGGGAAAGGAUGAGUGAUUUAGAUACCAUCCCGGAUCUCAAAGAGAUCAACAUCAACGCACUCAUAUCUUUCAAUGCUUCCAACAGAAGACACACAAAGCUCCAGGUUGCUGAGCAUCUCAAACCCAUCCUCCGUUAGCCUCCUCAGGGUCCGUCUGGUGCCCUGUCUCCACUGGCUCCAACUGCUCAGAUCCUUGGCCUGCUCCAAACGCUGGUCCCUGUCAGAUGAUCAAUCAGUCAAUAUAUUAAGCAAUCAAUCAGUUUGGGCAGUUCCCUGACUGGUCUCUGUAGGGUCUGAGUCCUGUGUUUCUCCUCAUGCUGCCUGGCCAAUGUGGUCUGUCCCCAUUUCCCACUGCUGGAGGAGCCCAGCCUGGUCCGUGAGCUGUCAC
Oncorhynchus nerka (sockeye salmon) is the source of this 1329-nucleotide long non-coding RNA. RefSeq lists it as uncharacterized. Lineage: Eukaryota; Metazoa; Chordata; Actinopteri; Salmoniformes; Salmonidae. The record is from RefSeq and is a predicted model, not a curated record. The transcript has 3 exons.